CCCUUAGAUGGUCUGGGCCGCACGCGCGCUACACUGAUGCAUUCAACGAGCCUAUCCUUGACCGACAGGUCCGGGUAAUCUUUGAAUCUGCAUCGUGACGGGGAUAGAUUAUUGCAAUUAUUAAUCUUCAACGAGGAAUGCCUAGUAGGCGCAAGUCAUCAGCUUGCGUCGAUUACGUCCCUGCCCUUUGUACACACCGCCCGUCGCUCCUACCGAUUGGGUGUGCUGGUGAAAUGUUCGGAUCGGCCGUUUGUCGCGGUUUCCGCGGCUCGUGGCUGAGAAGUUCAUUAAACCCUCCCACCUAGAGGAAGGAGAAGUCGUAACA
Molecule: ribosomal RNA, 325 nt
Filed under: uncultured eukaryote
Lineage: Eukaryota
Description: partial 18S ribosomal RNA
Rfam family: Eukaryotic small subunit ribosomal RNA
Source: RNAcentral